CUAAGACCGCAUAGGUGUAGAGAUCGCAUGAACUCUAUAUGAAAAGUGCUACGGGACUGGUAGAUGAUGGACUUAUGGCGCAUUAGCUGGUUGGUAGGGUAACGGCCUACCAAGGCGACGAUGCGUAGCCGACCUGAGAGGGUGACCGGCCACACUGGGACUGAGACACGGCCCAGACUCCUACGGGAGGCAGCAGUAGGGAAUUUUCGGCAAUGGGGGAAACCCUGACCGAGCAACGCCGCGUGAAGGAAGAAGUAAUUCGUUACGUAAACUUCUGUCAUAGAGGAAGAACGGUGGAUAUAGGGAAUGAUAUCCAAGUGACGGUACUCUAUAAGAAAGCCACGGCUAACUACGUGCCAGCAGCCGCGGUAAUACGUAGGUGGCGAGCGUUAUCCGGAAUUAUUGGGCGUAAAGAGGGAGCAGGCGGCACUAAGGGUCUGUGGUGAAAGAUCGAAGCUUAACUUCGGUAAGCCAUGGAAACCGUAGAGCUAGAGUGUGUGAGAGGAUCGUGGAAUUCCAUGUGUAGCGGUGAAAUGCGUAGAUAUAUGGAGGAACACCAGUGGCGAAGGCGACGAUCUGGCGCAUAACUGACGCUCAGUCCCGAAAGCGUGGGGAGCAAAUAGGAUUAGAUACCCUAGUAGUCCACGCCGUAAACGAUAAGUACUAAGUGUUGGGGGUCAAAGCUCAGUGCUGC
RNAcentral lists this ribosomal RNA (694 nucleotides) under uncultured bacterium. RNAcentral's name for it is "bacterial SSU rRNA". It matches the Rfam family "Bacterial small subunit ribosomal RNA", at positions 163 to 849 of the family's 1533-position model. The record is from RNAcentral.